GUACCCGUAGCUUAGCUGGAUAAAGCGCUUCCCUCCGAAGGAAGAGAUCAGAAGUUCGAAUCUUCUCGGGUACACCA
RNAcentral lists this transfer RNA (77 nucleotides) under Candidatus Uhrbacteria bacterium. Its description in RNAcentral is "tRNA-Arg". It matches the Rfam family "tRNA". From Rfam's summary of the family: Transfer RNA (tRNA) molecules are approximately 80 nucleotides in length. The record is from RNAcentral. Lineage: Bacteria; Candidatus Uhriibacteriota.